This 1543-nucleotide long non-coding RNA is filed under the name Equus caballus (horse). RNAcentral describes it as "lncRNA (ENSECAG00000057660.1)". Lineage: Eukaryota; Metazoa; Chordata; Mammalia; Perissodactyla; Equidae. The record is from RNAcentral.
AAAAGGUCCAGUGGUGUGGGCAUGUCGGGUCAUCUCCUCUGACGUAAAGGGCAGCUCAUUGCACCCUGUCCCUUCCACCAUCAGGAAAGAAGCACAACUCUCAGUGGCGUCUCUGGGUUUGGGGAACAGCGCAUUCAACACUGGGGACUCCUGCUUUGGCCCAUUUCUUGGGUGACACAGAAGGCUGCAAGUUUGGAGCGUCUAUGAUGCAUGCAUCCGUGCUUGGGACACGUGACCCGCCAGACCCUGGGGUCCUAGAGGUAUCUGUAGGAGAAAAGCUCCCAUAGGAAAGCCGUAGUGCAGGUCCCGAGGUGCUGGAACAAGGCCAUGCCAUUUGCAGAAGAGAAGGGCUCCUGAGAUGCCACCAGGCCCCAUUAGAAACUAAGCAUCUGACUGGGGGACAUCCAGUGGCCAAGUGGCCACAACUUUUCAUCAUGAGCUGAUGAGCCACCUGCCAGCUCACAAGGCCAGGCCUCUGUCACAACACAGAAGGGCACAUCAGGGAUGGGCUCACAAAGGUCCCGAAGCUGCAUGAACAGGAGGCCUAGAUCCCAUGCCACCUACCACUGUUGCACCAAUGCCCCUCUCAGCUCACACCUCGUGGGGGUCUCCCCGUGACCAGCUGAGAGGACGGACAAGGCUGAGGUUGGUUCGUGCAUGGAUCGGGCUCAGUGUUGGUGUGCGCUGAAGACAAUUGCGGUUGCACUCACUUCCUGCUGGGGGCGUGGCCUCAAAGACAGUGGGCGGAGCUUUGGGUGGACCCCUGGCCACCUAUGUGUGUAAAGAGAGAAGUGGCCUGAGGUCAGGGUAUGCGUGGGCUCAGGGGCAGUGGCUGAACUGGUCGGGAGAGUCUGCAAGGAGCAAGACAGGAAGAAUGGGAAGAUGUGGGGGAGGCGUGUGCGUGGACUGGGGGAGGGGCACACCGCGUGAGGAUCCUCGUCUCCCACGUUAACCCCUGGGAGCAUCCGGUGCACAGGGACACUAAACAACCAGGUGGACGGGAUGACCCUGCCAGCCUUUGUCCUGGGCGGCCACCGCACUUGGGCCACAGGCUCAUGAAGUGGAACAGUUACGGUGGCAGAGCUGGACGCCACUCCUGGGCCCGAGAGAAGGUGUUUCUACUCAUCGAGGCUGCUGUGGUUGCUGCACCUCUGCGUGUCUGACCUGUCAGCUACUGAGGCCGACUCUAAGCUCCCGAGAUGGUACCAUCCCCUUGAGGCGGCCAACCAGCCAGGCACUUGGUGGCAAGUUAAUUUCAUUGGACCCCCUUCCAUCUUGGAAAAGGCAGGGACGUGGUAAGGGUUCCACCCAACUUCAAGCUGCCGUUCUGCCUGUCUCUCUGGGCCCCCGUGCCAGUGGCGCAGCAGGCACAGAAAGGCGACUCCAUGCGGGCAGGAUGCGAGGUCCCGGCCAUCAUGAGGAACCAGUGCUGCUGGAUGGUGGGGACAGGGAGGGUGUGACGGGCACUCAGGUGUCCACCCAGGUGGGUCUUGGUACUCCCGUGCCCAGUGUUACCGUAAAUGGCACAUACAGCAACCAUGGC